This 253-nucleotide ribosomal RNA is filed under the name uncultured bacterium. RNAcentral describes it as "partial 16S ribosomal RNA". It matches the Rfam family "Bacterial small subunit ribosomal RNA", at positions 524 to 776 of the family's 1533-position model. The record is from RNAcentral.
UACGAAGGGUGCAACCGUUGCUCGGAAUUAUUGGGCGUAAAGCGCACGUAGGCGGCAUUGCAAGUCGGAUGUGAAAUCUUAUGGCUUAACCAUAAAAGUGCAUCCGAAACUGCAGUGCUUGAGUACUUAAGAGGAUCGCGGAAUUCCCGGUGUAGAGGUGAAAUUCGUAGAUAUUCGCAAGAACACCAGUGGCGAAGGCGGCUCACUGGCCCGAUACUGACGCUGAGGCACGAAAGCGUGGGGAGCAAACAGG